CGAAAGCCUGACGGAGCAAGACCGCGUGGGGGAAGAAGGCUCUUGGGUUGUAAACCCCUUUUCUCUGGGAAGAAAGUUGUGAAAGCAACCUGACGGUACCAGAGGAAUCAGCAUCGGCUAACUCCGUGCCAGCAGCCGCGGUAAGACGGAGGAUGCAAGCGUUAUCCGGAAUGAUUGGGCGUAAAGCGUCCGCAGGUGGCAGUUCAAGUCUGCUGUCAAAGACCGGGGCUUAACUUCGGAAAGGAAGUGGAAACUGAAGAGCUAGAGUAUGGUAGGGGCAGAGGAAAUUCCUGGUGUAGCGGUGAAAUGCGUAGAGAUCAGGAAGAACAUCGGUGGCGAAGGCGCUCUGCUGGACCAUAACUGACACUCACAGGACGAAAGCUAGGGGAGCG
RNAcentral lists this ribosomal RNA (392 nucleotides) under uncultured Oscillatoria sp. Its description in RNAcentral is "bacterial SSU rRNA". It matches the Rfam family "Bacterial small subunit ribosomal RNA", at positions 376 to 770 of the family's 1533-position model. Lineage: Bacteria; Bacillati; Cyanobacteriota; Cyanophyceae; Oscillatoriales; Oscillatoriaceae. The record is from RNAcentral.